RNAcentral lists this ribosomal RNA (460 nucleotides) under uncultured bacterium. Its description in RNAcentral is "partial 16S ribosomal RNA". It matches the Rfam family "Bacterial small subunit ribosomal RNA", at positions 338 to 795 of the family's 1533-position model. The record is from RNAcentral.
CCUACGGGUGGCAGCAGUGAGGAAUAUUGGUCAAUGGGCGCGAGCCUGAACCAGCCAAGUCGCGUGAAGGAUGACUGCUCUAUGGGUUGUAAACUUCUUUUAUAUGGGAAUAAAGUGAGGAACGUGUUCCUUUUUGUAUGUACCCUAUGAAUAAGCAUCGGCUAACUCCGUUCCCGCAGCCGCGGUAAUACGGAGGAUGCGAGCGUUAUCCGGAUUUAUUGGGUUUAAAGGGGGCGUAGGUGGUUAAUUAAGUCAGCGGUGAAAGUUUGUGGCUCAACCAUAAAAUCGCCGUUGAAACUGGUUGUCUUGAGUAUAUUUGAGGUAGGCGGAAUGCGUGGUGUAGCGGUGAAAUGCAUAGAUAUCACGCAGAACUCCGAUUGCGAAGGCAGCUUACUAAACUAUAACUGACACUGAAGCACGAAAGCGUGGGGAUCAAACAGGAUUAGAUACCCGGGUAGUC